AUACGGGUAAAGUGGCUUCUGGGCGGAAGGUACACUAUAGGCUCGGGGAGGUAAGCGGCGGCAGGCCGGCGGUUGGUGUGUCCCGGGUGUGGGGAGGCGACAGAGCCCUGGCACUUGAGGGUUGAGGGGGCCUCCCCAGCGCGGCGAACCGUCUAGCCUCCGGAGGCCAGGCCGUGAGUGCGGGAGGUAUACGCCAAGGCGGAAGAAUUUUGCCACUCACUACCUGUGUGACCUCGGGUAAAUUAGCCUUGGAACGUCAGUUUCUUCGUCUCUAUAAUUGAAAUAAUAAUAGUACCUCUCUCAGGAUUGUUGUGAGCCGUCAGUGAAACACUUAGAGCAGUUUCUGGCACAUGGUAGAAUUGGGCUAUUUGCUGAAGCUUCUUGGUGGCCCUUGCUAGCCCAGGAAGAAACUUACAUUUUGAUUUUUUUGUACCAUGGCUUUGGUUCACAAAUUGCUGCGUGGUACUUAUUUUCUCAGAAAAUUCUCUAAGCCAACUUCUGCCUUGUAUCCAUUUUUGGGUAUUCGCUUUGCAGAGUAUUCCAGUAGUCUUCAGAAACCAGUGGCUUCUCCUGGCAAAGCCUCCUCACAGAGGAAGACUGAAGGGGAUUUGCAAGGAGAUCACCAGAAAGAAGUUGCUUUGGAUAUAACUUCUUCUGAGGAGAAGCCUGAUGUUAGUUUCGAUAAAGCAAUUAGAGAUGAAGCAAUAUACCAUUUUAGGCUUUUGAAGGAUGAAAUUGUGGAUCAUUGGAGAGGACCGGAAGGCCACCCUCUGCAUGAGGUCUUGCUGGAACAAGCCAAGGUUGUCUGGCAAUUCCGGGGGAAAGAAGAUUUGGAUAAGUGGACAGUGACUUCUGAUAAGACGAUUGGAGGCAGAAGUGAAGUGUUUUUGAAAAUGGGCAAGAAUAACCAAAGUGCACUGCUAUAUGGAACUCUGAGCUCUGAGGCGCCUCAGGACGGGGAGUCUACCCGAAGUGGGUACUGUGCAAUGAUAUCCAGGAUUCCAAGGGGUGCUUUUGAGAGGAAGAUGUCUUACGAUUGGUCCCAGUUCAAUACUCUGUAUCUCCGUGUACGUGGGGAUGGUCGGCCUUGGAUGGUGAAUAUCAAGGAGGACACAGAUUUCUUCCAGAGGACGAAUCAGAUGUAUAGUUACUUCAUGUUCACCCGCGGGGGACCCUACUGGCAGGAGGUCAAGGCAACUCUGCUAAAGUUGGUGUCCUAGGCCUGCGUGGUGGCUCACACCUGUAAUCCCAGCACUUUGGGAGGCCAAGGCGGACGGAUCACUUGAGGUUGGGAGUUCGACACCAGCCUGACCAACAUGGAGAAACCCUGUUGUCUCUACUAAAAAAAAUACAAAAUUAGCUGGGCGUGGUGGCGCAUGCCUGUAAUCCCAGCUACUCGGGAGGCUAAGGCAGGAUAAUUGCUUGAACCCAGGAGGCGGAGGUUUCGAUUCCUUUUUCCAAAUUUUUCUUCUCUAAUCGAGGAAGAAUCCGGGAUGUUCAGCAUGAGCUUCCGCUUGAUAAGAUCUCUUCUAUAGGAUUCACCUUGGCUGAUAAAGUGGAUGGUCCAUUCUUCCUGGAGAUAGAUUUUAUUGGCGUGUUUACUGAUCCAGCUCAUACAGAAGAAUUUGCCUAUGAAAAUUCUCCAGAGCUUAACCCAAGGCUUUUUAAAUAAAGAUCAUAUGGUAGUUUUGUUUUACUAAUCUAAGGGUACUAGCAUCUACAAUGAUAUAGACAAAAUAAAAUAUUUCUUUAAUGGCAUCCAA
Molecule: RNA transcript, 1763 nt
Organism: Homo sapiens (human)
Lineage: Eukaryota; Metazoa; Chordata; Mammalia; Primates; Hominidae
Gene: NDUFAF1
Gene name: NADH:ubiquinone oxidoreductase complex assembly factor 1
Exons: 6
Source: RefSeq, marked reviewed